AUUGAACGCUGGCGGCAGGCUUAACACAUGCAAGUCGAGCGGGGGAAGGUAGCUUGCUACUGGACCUAGCGGCGGACGGGUGAGUAAUGCUUAGGAAUCUGCCUAUUAGUGGGGGACAACAUCUCGAAAGGGAUGCUAAUACCGCAUACGUCCUACGGGAGAAAGCAGGGGAUCUUCGGACCUUGCGCUAAUAGAUGAGCCUAAGUCGGAUUAGCUAGUUGGUGGGGUAAAGGCCUACCAAGGCGACGAUCUGUAGCGGGUCUGAGAGGAUGAGCCGCCACACUGGGACUGAGACACGGCCCAGACUCCUACGGGAGGCAGCAGUGGGGAAUAUUGGACAAUGGGGGGAACCCUGAUCCAGCCAUGCCGCGUGUGUGAAGAAGGCCUUAUGGUUGUAAAGCACUUUAAGCGAGGAGGAGGCUACUUUAGUUAAUACCUAGAGAUAGUGGACGUUACUCGCAGAAUAAGCACCGGCUAACUCUGUGCCAGCAGCAGCCGCCG
Molecule: ribosomal RNA, 501 nt
Filed under: uncultured bacterium
Lineage: Bacteria
Description: partial 16S ribosomal RNA
Rfam family: Bacterial small subunit ribosomal RNA
Source: RNAcentral